GUAGGGAAUCUUCCACAAUGGACGAAAGUCUGAUGGAGCAACGCCGCGUGAGUGAAGAAGGUUCUCGGAUCGUAAAACUCUGUUGUGAGGGAAGAACAAGUACCGGAGUAACUGCCGGUACCUUGACGGUACCUCAUUAGAAAGCCACGGCUAACUACGUGCCAGCAGCCGCGGUAAUACGUAGGUGGCAAGCGUUGUCCGGAAUCAUUGGGCGUAAAGCUCGCGCAGGCGGUCCCUUAAGUCUGAUGUGAAAGCCCACGGCUCAACCGUGGAGGGUCAUUGGAAACUGGGGGACUUGAGUGCAGAAGAGGAAAGCGGAAUUCCAAGUGUAGCGGUGAAAUGCGUAGAGAUUUGGAGGAACACCAGUGGCGAAGGCGGCUUUCUGGUCUGUAACUGACGCUGAGGCGCGAAAGCGUGGGGAGCAAACAGGAUUAGAAACCCUAGUAGUCC
This 450-nucleotide ribosomal RNA is filed under the name uncultured bacterium. RNAcentral describes it as "partial 16S ribosomal RNA". It matches the Rfam family "Bacterial small subunit ribosomal RNA", at positions 354 to 796 of the family's 1533-position model. The record is from RNAcentral.